CACGUAGGGUGCGAGCGUUGUCCGGAAUUAUUGGGCGUAAAGCGCACGUAGGCGGUCGGCUAUGUCGGAUGUGAAAACUGGAGGCUCAACCUUCAGACGUCGACCGAAACCAUCUGGCUAGAGUCCGGGAGAGGAGAGUGGAAUUCCUGGUGUAGCGGUGAAAUGCGCAGAUAUCAGGAAGAACACCCGUGGCGAAAGCGGCUAUCUGGACAGAGUCUGACGCUGAGGCGCGAAAGCUAGGGGAGCAAACAGG
RNAcentral lists this ribosomal RNA (253 nucleotides) under uncultured bacterium. RNAcentral's name for it is "partial 16S ribosomal RNA". It matches the Rfam family "Bacterial small subunit ribosomal RNA", at positions 524 to 776 of the family's 1533-position model. The record is from RNAcentral.